GAUGAAGAACGUAGCAAAAUGCGAUACUUGGUGUGAAUUGCAGAAUCCCGUGAACCAUCGAGUUUUUGAACGCAAGUUGCGCCCGAAGCCUUUUGGCUGAGGGCACGUCUGCCUGGGCGUCACGCAUCGCGUCGCCCCCCACAAUUCUCCGUAAAGGGAACAUGUGUUUUGGGGGCGGAUAUUGGUCUCCCGUGCUCAUGGCGUGGUUGGCCGAAAUAGGAGUCCUUUCGAUGGACGCACGAACUAGUGGUGGUCGUAAAAACCCUCGUCUUUUGUUUCGUGCUGUUGCUCGUAAGGUAAACUCUUUAAAAACCCCAAUGUGUCGUCUCUUGACGACGCUUCGACCGCGACCCCAGGUCAGGCGGGACUACCCGCUGAGUUUAAGCAUAUCAAUAAGCGGAGGA
Molecule: unclassified non-coding RNA, 404 nt
Filed under: soil metagenome
Description: partial contains 5.8S ribosomal RNA, internal transcribed spacer 2, and large subunit ribosomal RNA
Rfam family: 5.8S ribosomal RNA (bases 1-122)
Source: RNAcentral